Long non-coding RNA from Notolabrus celidotus (New Zealand spotty), 1651 nucleotides. RefSeq lists it as uncharacterized. The transcript is spliced from 3 exons. NCBI's taxonomy places the organism in Eukaryota, Metazoa, Chordata, Actinopteri, Labriformes, Labridae. The record is from RefSeq and is a predicted model, not a curated record.
UUUGCAGUCAUGUACAUGAAGAGCCAAAGGAACUGCAAAAAACACACAUAAGGCCCAAGAACCUCUUCUUGCGACAAGCGGCCAACGAGUUCUCACGGCGUCUUGGUGCUCCACAAGACUGCUCCAACAUUAAACGCCCGUUUCAAAGAACUUACCUGUGUCUGUGUUGUCGUGACGAGAGCUACAGUGAGAACUCGCCUGCUCAACACGGGUGGGAGAGACAACGAAUCUACGGCGGCUAACAACAUACGAAGAUCCAGUGCACCAGAUAAGCAAAGCUCACAUCCAUCAGAACCACUGCCGAGUCACAGGCGGCAAAGAAAGACCUUUUGGUCUAAAGUACAGUUGCUUAGUGAGCAUUGAAGAAAAGCAAGGCACCUGCUUCUUCCCAAUGGCAUCCUGGUCUCUACUCAACUUGACACUCCUCAUCGACACUAUCCUGUUGACCAGGGUGAGUAAAACUGUAAAUUCAAGGGAGUCACCAUGCUCUCCAAGGGUCUUGCAAAGAUCCUGGAUGUACCAGGAGCCCUCUAGUACAUUCCUGAAGGAAAAGUAACCUAGACAACAAAAAAAAAAAUGCCAGGAUAAUUAUUGGCUUUAGGACAUAUUAAAUGGUUGAAACUCAUCCCAGUUUCUCAAAGGGAUAAUCAUUGUACAUUAGAUCUGUCCUCAAAAAGUAUAGUAAGAGUUUUAAACAUCCUGGUCCACUCACCUUCAGCCACAGAGUAGCACAUGAUGAAAUCAGCUCCAGCAGGAAGUGUGUGUAUGGCCCCGGCAUCAACCAUCAACUCAUCUUCCUUUGGCUCACUUUCACCACCACAGACAGUCACAGGAUUAUCAAACUCUUUUCCACGACAUGCCUAGUGUCAAACACACUCAUGUUCACUUUGACAACAGGAUGGAUUUUCAAUUGAGGUGAUCACACAAAGGCAAUACUUUAUGUAUCCAUAUUCAAAUAAUUUGACAGGUUUUGGGAUUUGUUUUAAAUGUUGCAUGUACCUGUAAUAUAAAGAUCUUUGGCUUGCCUACAAGGGUCCGGCACUUGUCUCCUUUGAAAGGAGCUGUGAUAUCCUGAAUUCUAAUGUUGCCAUCCAUGGUGCAAACAUGAUCUUUCUCACCAUGGCUCAGGAAGACGAGUAAGAAACAGUCUGCGUCUGAAUGGUCCGCUUCUGCAGCUGUUGAAUAUCAGGUGAUUGUUAACAAAAGUUGUGAACAAAAGUUACCUUUACCGUAAUAUCUGGAAUUUAUAAAAUGUCUUUAAAAUGUUAAUUACAGUAAUGAUUUAGUGCUGUCUUAUGAAUACAUGCAGAAUUAUCUGAAUGUCAUUUGUGAUCAUGCAUGUGCUUGAUGAUGCGACAUCUUUCGUUUUGCUGUCGUUAUACACCACCACUUUAAAGCCUAGCUCUUUCAAUCUUAACAAGAAAACAAGUAAACUAUAUCAUACAGUGCAUGAGGCAAUUCUUACAGGAAAAAAAUAACUACCACUUCACAAGUUAAGACAAGUUCUUACACACACAAACAUUAACGUCCUGUUCCCUGCUGCAGCUGGCUGAGAAUUUUUACCUUUUCUCCAAGUUGUUACGGUCAACUUCAGUCCCAUAGCGGGGUUUGCAUCCUGUGUAAAAGAGCUUCUGAUUAAAAAUGAGAGCAA